GCUCAGUACGGCGAGUGAGCGGCAACAGCUCAAAUUUGAAAUCUGGCCGCAAGGUCCGAGUUGUAAUUUGCAGAGGAUGCUUUUGGCGAGGUGCCUUCCGAGUUCCCUGGAACGGGACGCCAUAGAGGGUGAGAGCCCCGUACGGUUGGACCACCGAGCCUCUGUAAAGCUCCUUCGACGAGUCGAGUAGUUUGGGAAUGCUGCUCUAAAUGGGAGGUGUACGUCUUCUAAAGCUAAAUACCGGCCAGAGACCGAUAGCGCACAAGUAGAGUGAUCGAAAGAUGAAAAGCACUUUGAAAAGAGGGUUAAAAAGUACGUGAAAUUGUUGAAAGGGAAGCGUUUAUGACCAGACUUGGGCUUGGUUGAACAUCCGGCGUUCUCGCCGGUGCACUCUGCCAGUCCAGGCCAGCAUCAGUUUGUCCCGGGGGAUAAAGGCGGUGGGAAUGUGGCUCCCCCGGGAGUGUUAUAGCCCGCCGUGCAAUGCCCUGGGACGGACUGAGGAACGCGCUUCGGCACGGAUGCUGGCGUAAUGGUCAUCAACGACCCGUCUUGAACACGGACCA
RNAcentral lists this ribosomal RNA (563 nucleotides) under Sarocladium oryzae. RNAcentral's name for it is "partial 28S ribosomal RNA". It matches the Rfam family "Eukaryotic large subunit ribosomal RNA", at positions 77 to 668 of the family's 3401-position model. Lineage: Eukaryota; Fungi; Ascomycota; Sordariomycetes; Hypocreales; Sarocladiaceae. The record is from RNAcentral.